Molecule: ribosomal RNA, 117 nt
Filed under: Jaculus jaculus (lesser Egyptian jerboa)
Lineage: Eukaryota; Metazoa; Chordata; Mammalia; Rodentia; Dipodidae
Source: RNAcentral
UUGUACUGCCAUACUACCAUGAGUGCACCCCAUCUCAUCUGAUCUCAGAAGCUGAGCAGGUUCAGGCCAGGUUGUAAUUAGGAUGAGAGAAUGGGUAAACUGACAUCAAGUGACAAC